Molecule: ribosomal RNA, 546 nt
Filed under: Alternaria alternata
Lineage: Eukaryota; Fungi; Ascomycota; Dothideomycetes; Pleosporales; Pleosporaceae
Description: eukaryotic LSU rRNA
Rfam family: 5.8S ribosomal RNA (bases 191-344)
Source: RNAcentral
CUACGUGACCUGCGGAGGGUCAUUACACAAAUAUGAAGGCGGGCUGGAACCUCUCGGGGUUACAGCCUUGCUGAAUUAUUCACCCUUGUCUUUUGCGUACUUCUUGUUUCCUUGGUGGGUUCGCCCACCACUAGGACAAACAUAAACCUUUUGUAAUUGCAAUCAGCGUCAGUAACAAAUUAAUAAUUACAACUUUCAACAACGGAUCUCUUGGUUCUGGCAUCGAUGAAGAACGCAGCGAAAUGCGAUAAGUAGUGUGAAUUGCAGAAUUCAGUGAAUCAUCGAAUCUUUGAACGCACAUUGCGCCCUUUGGUAUUCCAAAGGGCAUGCCUGUUCGAGCGUCAUUUGUACCCUCAAGCUUUGCUUGGUGUUGGGCGUCUUGUCUCUAGCUUUGCUGGAGACUCGCCUUAAAGUAAUUGGCAGCCGGCCUACUGGUUUCGGAGCGCAGCACAAGUCGCACUCUCUAUCAGCAAAGGUCUAGCAUCCAUUAAGCCUUUUUUUUCAACUUUUGACCUCGGAUCAGGUAGGGAUACCCGCUGAACUUAA